CCCUUAGAUGUUCUGGGCCGCACGCGCGCUACACUGAUGCAUUCAACGAGUCCAACCUUGAUCGAGAGGUCCGGGUAAUCUUUGAAACUGCAUCGUGAUGGGGCUAGAUUAUUGCAAUUAUUAAUCUUCAACGAGGAAUGCCUAGUAAGCGUGAUUCAUCAAAUCGCGUUGAUUACGUCCCUGCCCUUUGUACACACCGCCCGUCGCUCCUACCGAUUGAGUGUGUUGGUGAGGAGUUUGGAUUGGCCUCGGAAGGUGGUUCGCCACCGUCCGUAGCUGAGAAGUUCUCCAAACCGCCCCACUUAGAGGAAGGAGAAGUCGUAACA
RNAcentral lists this ribosomal RNA (326 nucleotides) under uncultured eukaryote. RNAcentral's name for it is "partial 18S ribosomal RNA". It matches the Rfam family "Eukaryotic small subunit ribosomal RNA", at positions 1470 to 1796 of the family's 1831-position model. The record is from RNAcentral.